CAAACCCUAAACCUAAACACUCCCCCAUCUUCUCUUCAUCUUCUCCAAACAACCCCUCCAGUCGCGAGCUCCAGCCAGCCAUGGCUACCCUCUUUCUUCAGCUUUGACCACCCUUCACCCUCGACCAAACGAACCUCCAUCAAAACCAUUAACCAAACACCUCGCGACUGCCCGCCUUCGUUUCCAGCCAUUUCCUUUCCGUCGUUCACCACCAGUCAACCGACAACCACAAACACACACCCACAGUCGUCACCAUCCACGAACCAAGCAACCCAAUGCCACUGCUCCUCCUCGCCUUUUUAUUUACACUCACCCAAACGGAACCCAUGAUUCACUAUUUUCAGCCAUGAACCAACGGCCAAACUUUCUCCUCCAGUUUGUCGUCAGUCAUUGUUGUCUGUUUUUGUUCGUCAUCGCCGCCUUCAGUUGUUCGUUGGUCAUCAUUUGUUUAAAACGAUCGCUGGCCGGACAUAUUUUGUUUACGUCAAAGUUGAAGUCUUCGUUCGAGUUUUUGAUUCAAUGUUGUUGAUUGCAUUUAAAAGUCGUAUCAAUGUGCAGUUGUAAUUGUUACUUCAUUUCGGUUUAAUCAGAAAGCUCCUCCAGGCCUGUCCUUCAUCUUUUUUGUUUUGGUAGGAAAUUCUCGAAUCAGUAAGUUUUCUUAUUCAUGCUCGAAUCAACAAUUUUGCUGAUAAAGUUUAUGAGGUAAUUAAUCCAGAUGAAUAUUAUGUUUGGAUUUAAGAUUAUCAUCUUAUGAUUUUACCAACUACUCUAAGGAAAAAAUAAGAUAGAAUCCAUUUCCAUCAUAUGAAAUAUACAGAACUUUGCUUGUUGGAGAUGAGAUAUUAAGAGCUUUAUUGAAUUGUGAUUUUGUUGGAUUUCAAACUUUUGAUUAUGUACAUUUUUUUCAUAUUGAUUGUAGUGUUAUUGGAUUUAAUUUGAAGUUCAAGUGAGGAUUGAUAUUAGUGAUUUGAAUAUACUUGUUUGUUAUGUUGAGUUUUUUCUGAUAUGAAUCUGAUCUUGAAUGUUGAUAUGAAUCUUACUUUGUUGAAAUGAUUCCUAAAUGUUGUUGACUAGGAGUUUGUUUGAUGAGAUUAAUUGUCAAUUGAUAGGUGAAUUGGUUAUAGCUGAUAGAGUUUGGUGCAGAUUAAAAAAAAUAGGGUAGAAUAGUAAUUUUAGAAGUAUCAGGGGUAUUUUGGGAUUUAUAAGUGUAAAAAAUAAUUAAUUAAAUAUACUGUCCAUGUAGUACUAAUGUAACAUUAAACUAAGGAAUUGUUUAAUAGAAGUGGGGGAUAAGACAUAUGAUAGUGGGGAAUAAUUCAUUUGUUUAAUGAAAGUGGGGAACAUGACAUAAUGAUGUAAAUAAAGGAAAAAUGGGGUUUGAAAAGUUACAAAAAUGGAAUAAUAAUGAAAAAGUUAAAAGUGUUCACAUAGUAGAAGAAUAUUUAAAAGCUGGAAAGUAAAAGGAGGAGGGGCUAAUAAUAAAAGUUUUUCCCUUUACAACUGUAAAAAAAAAAAAGAAGGGCUGAAAAGGAAAAAGAGUUUGGGUUUAAAUAUCGAGAUUAAGAGAGUCAUUAAGGGGAGGAUGAAAAACAAAAAAUAAGAGAGAUUUUGAGAGUUAAAAAAAUACUGAGAGUACACACAUGGGAACUGGCAGUAAGAGUUUAAGGUCAAAAAUACAUAGAAAAGAUUCCCAGAGAUAGAGAGAUAAGACUUGAACGGGCAGUAAGAACUGAGAGUUAAAAAAAAUUGGAGAGCAUUCUUGAGAGAGUUUAAGCAAUCAGUUAAUUCAACUAAGAUUUUUUUAUUGAAAAUUAAAGAGAACUUCAGCUUUAACUAUCAAGUUAAAUUUUCGAGUUCAUCUUUUAGCUGUUGGUACUGCAUUUUGUUUGCUGUUUGGUUUGCAUAUUGAUUCUGGGUGGUUGUUCAAGUCUUACCGGAGUCUAAAGUUGGUUUCAUUUAUUGAUGUUGGAGUUUGUUUACUGGUUUAUGGUCUGCACUGGUUGCCUGUUACUGUUCCAUUACUGGGUUGCUGCUGAUUUGAUGUUGUUUGUUGCGUUACUGCUGACUACUGCUCCUUCUAUUUUCCAUUAUCCAGGUACACACUCUGAAAUCAUGUAUUGAUGUAAACGUCAAGUUGGAGGUAAAAUGAAAUGCUGUCAAGUUUCCUUUUGAAUUCCCUUACAUCUUUAAAUGGACAUUGAGUAGAAUUUUGUACUUGUAACUGAUUGAUAAGUGUAUAAAUUGGAUUGUUGAAUCUAUCUAUUCAAACAUGUGAA
Molecule: long non-coding RNA, 2276 nt
Filed under: Nicotiana benthamiana
Lineage: Eukaryota; Viridiplantae; Streptophyta; Magnoliopsida; Solanales; Solanaceae
Description: long non-coding RNA (NBEN_LNC039573)
Source: RNAcentral